This 67-nucleotide transfer RNA is filed under the name Marmota monax (woodchuck). RNAcentral describes it as "tRNA.Ser". The record is from RNAcentral. Lineage: Eukaryota; Metazoa; Chordata; Mammalia; Rodentia; Sciuridae.
GGAUAUAGCUCAGGUGGUAGAGUGCUUGCCUAGAAUGCACAGGCCCUGGGUUCAAUCUCCAGCACCA